This 592-nucleotide ribosomal RNA is filed under the name Klebsiella pneumoniae. RNAcentral's name for it is "partial 23S ribosomal RNA". It matches the Rfam family "Bacterial large subunit ribosomal RNA", at positions 232 to 867 of the family's 2925-position model. Lineage: Bacteria; Pseudomonadati; Pseudomonadota; Gammaproteobacteria; Enterobacterales; Enterobacteriaceae. The record is from RNAcentral.
AGAUUCCCCCAGUAGCGGCGAGCGAACGGGGAGCAGCCCAGAGUCUGAAUCAGCUUGUGUGUUAGUGGAACGGUCUGGAAAGUCCGACGGUACAGGGUGAUAGUCCCGUACACCAAAAUGCACAGGUUGUGAACUCGAAGAGUAGGGCGGGACACGUGAUAUCCUGUCUGAAUAUGGGGGGACCAUCCUCCAAGGCUAAAUACUCCUGACUGACCGAUAGUGAACCAGUACCGUGAGGGAAAGGCGAAAAGAACCCCGGCGAGGGGAGUGAAAAAGAACCUGAAACCGUGUACGUACAAGCAGUGGGAGCACCUUCGGGUGUGACUGCGUACCUUUUGUAUAAUGGGUCAGCGACUUAUAUUCUGUAGCAAGGUUAACCGUAUAGGGGAGCCGCAGGGAAACCGAGUCUUAACUGGGCGUUAAGUUGCAGGGUAUAGACCCGAAACCCGGUGAUCUAGCCAUGGGCAGGUUGAAGGUUGGGUAACACUAACUGGAGGACCGAACCGACUAAUGUUGAAAAAUUAGCGGAUGACUUGUGGCUGGGGGUGAAAGGCCAAUCAAACCGGGAGAUAGCUGGUUCUCCCCGAAAGCU